This 1699-nucleotide long non-coding RNA is filed under the name Medicago truncatula (barrel medic). RNAcentral describes it as "long non-coding RNA (MTRU_LNC004739)". The record is from RNAcentral. Lineage: Eukaryota; Viridiplantae; Streptophyta; Magnoliopsida; Fabales; Fabaceae.
AUGUAUUAUUUUAAUAUAUGGUUUAUUAUAUAAUAAUUAGAUUAAGUGUGAAAUAAUGAUUAUUUUGGAGUUUGGGAAAUAAUAGUAAUUAAUAGAAUUUAUGGGGAGGUAAGUGUAAAUAGAAGGGAGUUACAUUUUAGUGGGAAGUUAAUACAGAGAAGUGAGAAACCAGUUUCACGUAGAAGCAGUUUUUGGGAGAAAACAAGAGAAAACCAGGAGCAAGAGAGAAGAACCAGAGGAACCCUUUUUGCUGUGCAUUUUUCAUUCUGAAUUAAGGUAAGGGUGAGGUUUACUUCAAUAGUAUAGAUUUUAAAAGUCUGAUUUGAGUUUAACAGGUUUUUGGAGUGAAAUUGAGGAAUUGGGUUUUAAUUGAAUUUAUGGUUUUUGGAGUAGAUAUUGCUGUUCCGAAGUUAGAAUUUGGUUUUGGUUGCAUAGAAACAUUCAUUUCUCAUCUGUAAACUAAAUUGGGGAGUGAAUUGAAGAAAAAUGGGAUUUUGGGGAAAAACAUGUUUUCUGCCCGUACAGAAGUUCAUCGCUCGCCACGCGAGCAACUGUGCUCGCCAUGGCGAGUGAGCAACUUCAUAGCUCGCCUCGCGAGCAAUCCAACUCGCCAUGGCGAGUAGCCCAGAUUAAAACUUAAUUUUUGAAAAGUUGUUAUAAGAUGUUUUGGGGAUGGUUUAAGGUACCUAGAUGAUUUUAAUGAUGAAUGGUGGAAGUUUUAGGUUAGAAAGAUGAAUAGGGAGCUUAGAAUUGGAGUUUGAGUGAGAAAAUAGCAUUUUUCCCGAGAGCACCUAAUUUUCACUCGCCUCGAGUUCGCCUUGAACUCGCCAUGGCGAGCUAGUGUUUUUGUGAACUCGCCAUGGCGAGCAGAUGUGCUCGCGAGGCGAGCUACUCAGUUCCUGUAUGUUGAAUUUCGUGCUUGAAUGGUAGUACCUUAAUGUUGUUGUGUUGAGCAUAGUUUCAUGUGAUUAUGCAUUAUUGUGGUUGUUUUGAUUGCUGGAUUGAUGAUUGCUGAUGAUGAAUGAAAUGUAUGCAAAGUAUUGAAUCAUACAUGUUGUUUAAGUGGAGUCACAUGGAGUUGCAUUGCAUGGUCAGUUGUAUGUAGAUAUACGCAAGUAGGUCCAUUGCAUAUGCAUAAAAACAGCGGUGAGGGCUUCGGUCCUGGAGUACUAGUUGCUCAACAGCGGUGAGGGCUUCGGUCCUGAUGAAUGCUUUAACCAUUCAAAAGCGGUGAGGGCCUCGGUCCUGAUUGGUACCACAUGCAUAAUUGCAUUUCAUUUAGAAGUCUAAGAUGGUGUCUUAGCAGUGGUCAUGUCAUUUGCAUGAGUCUUGGUUGUUGUUCGGUUUUAUCUGAUGUUGAUGUUGAUGUUGAAUAUCCAUUUAUUCAUAUAUAUUCAUUGUGAUCUUGAUGUGUUGUUGAUGUUAUUGGUAAUAUGUACAUUGUAUACAUACUUGCUAAAUGGAUUAUUAUGGUGAUGUUGUUGUGGCUUGUGAAUUAAAUAUUGAUAUUUACAAGAUUAAUAUGUUUGAAGUAAUAGGGUGUUAGAUUCAUUUGAUGAUUUUAAUAUCUAUAUUUAUUGUUGUGAAUCUCACCCCUUCUGCUUGAAAACGUUGCCCUUCCUAUGGGUAACUUGCAGGUGAUCCUGAGUAGUAGGUGGUGGCUCAUUGUCGUGUCUAGGGCUCUGAUACGUGGGAUGGG